AACCUAGCACACCUGCGGUGUGUACCUGCGGAGGGAUCAUUAACGAAUGGUCUCCGUACCUUCAAACACCUCAAACCAGUGGACAUUUGAAACGUGCUUCGGCGCUCUUGCGCCGUCAUUAUGCCGUAAAUAUGUCUUUUGUCUGAACUUGAAUGAAAACAAUCAAAACUUUUAACAAUGGAUCU
RNAcentral lists this unclassified non-coding RNA (185 nucleotides) under soil metagenome. RNAcentral describes it as "partial contains 5.8S ribosomal RNA, internal transcribed spacer 2, and large subunit ribosomal RNA". The record is from RNAcentral.